UAUACAUAUGAGAUGAAUAAUGUAGGGUAUGUAAACAUUAUAUUAGGUAGCAUUGUUUAAAGUGGCUAGUGAUAUAUUUUACAAUUCCCAUUAUUAAAGUGGCUGGAGUUGAGUCAGUGUGUUGGCAGCAGCCACUCAAUGUUAGUGGUGGCUGUUUAACAGUCUGAUGGCCUUGGGCUAGAAGCUGUUUUUCAGUCUCUCGGUCCCAGCUUUGACGCACCUGUACUGACCUCACCUUCUGGAUGAUAGCGGGGUGAACAGGCAGUGGCUCGGGUGGUUGUUGGCCUUCCUGUGACAUCGGGUGGUGUAGGUGUCCUGGCGGAAGAAGGUACUCUGGUCAGAUGAAACUAAAUUUAGCAUUUUAGCCAUCAAGGAGAACGCUGUGUCUGGCACAAAUGCUCGGCUAUUACACAGAACCUAAACCUGCGUGCGUGCGCCAUCGUGCGCAAAUGUAUUUUGUCCCCCUACACCAAUCACGACACCAGGUUAAAAUAUCAAAACAAAUUCUGAACCAAUUGCAUUAAUUUUGGAACAGGUCUAAAAGCAUUAAACAUUUAUGGCAAUUUAGUUAGUUAGUUAGCUUGCUAGCUAAUUUGUCCUAUUUAGCUAGCUAAUUUGUCCUGGGAUAUAAACAUUGAGUUGUUAUUUUACCUGAAAUGCACAAGGUCCUCUAGUCUGACAAUUAAUCCACACAUAAAACAGUCAACUGACUCGUUUCUGGUUCUCUCCUCCUGCCAGGCUUUUUCAUCUUUCAACUUAUGUUGAUUGGCAUCUAAACUUUCAUAGUAUUACUACACCGACCGGCAACACAGUUCGUCUUUCCAUCACCCUCAUGGGUAUAACCAAUGAGGAGAUUGGAGAGGCAGGACUUGCAGCAUCGAUCUGCGUUGGAAAUAGAAUGGAGUUCUAUUUUAGCCCAUGGCAAUGUAGACGCUCGCGAGCAGUGUGGGUGCACUAAUUGAAUAACGUAGAUUUCUAAAUUUAUUUUGCAACUCUCGGGCAUGCGGAAUGAGUGGUGUGGUCAGCUGAUUAAAUUAUUCUUUAGUAAAGGUUGAAUAGUCUAUUCAGCUAUUAACCCUCCCCAACUUGCAACAAAUUGCUGUUCCCAUCUCAUUCCUUUCCCUCUCAUGUGUCAUCAUUCUGCUCCUGAGUGGCUCGCUUGUGGGUGUGCUGGCAGGAUAUGGCAGCAUCUUCAGGUGUGCAUCAAGAAUUCUGCAUACAGUAGCACGUUUGUAUGAAGGAAGUCAAAGCGGACAACUACGAAGAUGGCAUCUCAGGUUAUAUCAGCUGUUUUGGUGAACCCCUCCAGCAUCUGAAAUGGCUGAAACAGCGGGCACAGCAUGAUCAUAGGUAUGUUUUGAUGUGAGAGGAAGCCAGUCCCGUCAUCGCCACCUCAUCAACUCUUCCUCGCCUUCUGGGGGCCCAAGGCUGGUUAGGAGACACCACAAUUGUGAUGAACUGAGAAUAUUAGGGUAGCACUAAUUCAUGAAUCGUAUGUUGUCUGCUGCUGCUGUUACCUCUUUCUCUUUGUCUUCUAUACCUCUCUCCCCACCUUGACUGACUGACUUGUUUUAUAAUGCACACCAUACAGUUUGAACUUAUAUUUAUGAUAAUUGUAAUAUUAUAAUUCUAAUGCAUUUAUGUAUUUAUGAAACCUGCAUAAUGAACUUCUUUCAAUAGUGUUUCACGUUCUCCACGGGUUGAAAUUAAGUAUCUCAUUGAAAUACUAUCCUGUGUCCUCAG
Oncorhynchus tshawytscha (Chinook salmon) is the source of this 1743-nucleotide long non-coding RNA. The record is from Ensembl. Lineage: Eukaryota; Metazoa; Chordata; Actinopteri; Salmoniformes; Salmonidae.